Molecule: transfer RNA, 90 nt
Filed under: Nitrososphaerota archaeon
Lineage: Archaea; Thermoproteati; Nitrososphaerota
Also listed under: 1 other name
Description: Thaumarchaeota archaeon tRNA-Leu
Rfam family: tRNA
About the family: Transfer RNA (tRNA) molecules are approximately 80 nucleotides in length. Their secondary structure includes four short double-helical elements and three loops (D, anti-codon, and T loops). Further hydrogen bonds mediate the characteristic L-shaped molecular structure. tRNAs have two regions of fundamental functional importance: the anti-codon, which is responsible for specific mRNA codon recognition, and the 3' end, to which the tRNAs corresponding amino acid is attached (by aminoacyl-tRNA synthetases). tRNAs cope with the degeneracy of the genetic code in two manners: having more than one tRNA (with a specific anti-codon) for a particular amino acid; and 'wobble' base-pairing, i.e. permitting non-standard base-pairing at the 3rd anti-codon position.
Source: RNAcentral
GCAGGGGUAUCGGAGCCCGGCCAAACGAGGGGGACUCAAGAUCCCCUCCCCUCAGGGGGUGCGCGGGUUCAAAUCCCGCCCCCUGCACCA